GGCUGAAAUUCGCCUACAUGAAGCUGGAAUUGCUAGUAAUGGCAGGUCAGCAUACUGCCGUGAAUACGUUCCCGGGCCUUGUACACACCGCCCGUCACACCAUGAGAGUUGGGGAUACCCGAAGCCUGUGAGCCAACUGUAAAGAGGCAGCAGUCGAAGGUAGAAUCAAUGAUUGGGGUGAAGUCGUAACAAGGUAAC
This 198-nucleotide ribosomal RNA is filed under the name uncultured bacterium. RNAcentral's name for it is "partial 16S ribosomal RNA". It matches the Rfam family "Bacterial small subunit ribosomal RNA", at positions 1303 to 1500 of the family's 1533-position model. The record is from RNAcentral.